GCAGGCAUAGUUUCAACCCAAACAUUAGGCUGUGAUCCUAAAAAUAGAAGUUAGACCCUUCUUACCUGCC
RNAcentral lists this transfer RNA (70 nucleotides) under Phaethon rubricauda (red-tailed tropicbird). RNAcentral's name for it is "tRNA-His". It matches the Rfam family "tRNA". Rfam says of the family: Transfer RNA (tRNA) molecules are approximately 80 nucleotides in length. Their secondary structure includes four short double-helical elements and three loops (D, anti-codon, and T loops). Further hydrogen bonds mediate the characteristic L-shaped molecular structure. tRNAs have two regions of fundamental functional importance: the anti-codon, which is responsible for specific mRNA codon recognition, and the 3' end, to which the tRNAs corresponding amino acid is attached (by aminoacyl-tRNA synthetases). tRNAs cope with the degeneracy of the genetic code in two manners: having more than one tRNA (with a specific anti-codon) for a particular amino acid; and 'wobble' base-pairing, i.e. permitting non-standard base-pairing at the 3rd anti-codon position. Lineage: Eukaryota; Metazoa; Chordata; Aves; Phaethontiformes; Phaethontidae. The record is from RNAcentral.